This is a long non-coding RNA of Cajanus cajan (pigeon pea), 196 nucleotides long. RefSeq lists it as uncharacterized. NCBI's taxonomy places the organism in Eukaryota, Viridiplantae, Streptophyta, Magnoliopsida, Fabales, Fabaceae. The record is from RefSeq and is a predicted model, not a curated record.
GUGAACAAAACUGCACCGUGUCCAGAGAGAAAGUUGGGAGCAAAAAAGAAAAUGGACUCGGCCAUACACCCCCCAUGGGAUGAAUAGCUGGAAUCAUUUCGUCGGUGAUAUUAUUGAAAGUUUAACUCGAGGAACAGCUGUUGCAACGGUGUCACCGGGCCUCGCUGCUUUGGGGUACAAAUAUAUUAAUUUAGGU